This 73-nucleotide transfer RNA is filed under the name Ailuropoda melanoleuca (giant panda). It matches the Rfam family "tRNA". Rfam says of the family: Transfer RNA (tRNA) molecules are approximately 80 nucleotides in length. The record is from Rfam by way of RNAcentral. Lineage: Eukaryota; Metazoa; Chordata; Mammalia; Carnivora; Ursidae.
ACCUGGCUGUCUCAGUAGGAAGAGCUUGUGACUCUUGAUCUUGGAGUUGUGAGUUCGAGCCUCAUGUUGGGUA